AGAUCAUUGUAGUCAUUCCCAUAUUAUAAAAUGUGAGCCUAAGGGAUUGAGAUCUUCAUAGAAAUUGAGAAGAAUUCAGUACAGGAUUUCUACAUUUGUGUAGAAUCAGACUACUGAUCUCUGUGGCUACCAGAAAUCUGGACAUCUCAAGCUUCUGCAGUUAUAUAGAUGGCACAUACAGGUUUUCCCUUCAGCUGGAAGAAUCAGUGUAAAGGAGGAGGAUUAAUACAGCCCUUGAGAAAGAAAAAGAAAAAAUCGUUUUAUACAGUGUUCAGUUCAAAGGCUGCAUUGGCUGCAUUCAGCCAACUCAGGAGGCUGACCCUCUCCCCUGCCUCCUGAGGUCAAGUCAGUGCACCAAAGAUGUUCUGAGCAAGUCUAACAAACUCUAUAUGAGGAAGAAGUCCAGAGAGUCCAAUAUUCCUCCCAACAAAUCAAAGCAAGAAAUCUGUUCCUGAACAGAAGUGAUGAAGUGACUGUCUGAAGUGACUUAUUAGAUUGUCUGCCUCCUCCUGAGCCAAAGGUUUCUGCCUGAAACUUAGCACUGCAACAUUCCUGAAGGAACAUACAGAAACAUCUACUUAACCCUUCAUAUCAUUCACAAUUUAUUCCAGCACCACCCCAAGCAAACAUCCGGGGAGAUGAACUGGUCACUGAUUAUAAACAAAAGGAAGAUACGUGUAGGUCUCAUCUGGCUAAGCUUCUCCGUCUUCUCCAUCAUACUUGUUAGCAAUAACAGGUAGAAUGUCAGAAACAAAUAAACAAAAAACAGCCAACA
RNAcentral lists this long non-coding RNA (775 nucleotides) under Anas platyrhynchos platyrhynchos (common mallard). Its description in RNAcentral is "lncRNA (ENSAPLG00000030933.1)". Lineage: Eukaryota; Metazoa; Chordata; Aves; Anseriformes; Anatidae. The record is from RNAcentral.